This 463-nucleotide ribosomal RNA is filed under the name uncultured bacterium. RNAcentral's name for it is "bacterial SSU rRNA". It matches the Rfam family "Bacterial small subunit ribosomal RNA", at positions 28 to 507 of the family's 1533-position model. The record is from RNAcentral.
GACGAACGCUGGCGGCGUGCCUAACACAUGCAAGUCGAGCGAGGAGAGUUCCUUCGGGAACAAACCUAGCGGCGGACGGGUGAGUAACACGUGGGCAACCUGCCUUGUAGAGGGAAUAGCCUUCCGAAAGGAAGAUUAAUACCGCAUAACAUUACAGUUUCGCAUGAAACAGUAAUUAAAGGAGUAAUCCGCUACAAGAUGGGCCCGCGGCGCAUUAGCUAGUUGGUGAGGUAACGGCUCACCAAGGCGACGAUGCGUAGCCGACCUGAGAGAGUGAUCGGCCACAUUGGGACUGAGACACGGCCCAGACUCCUACGGGAGGCAGCAGUGGGGAAUAUUGCACAAUGGGGGAAACCCUGAUGCAGCAACGCCGCGUGAGUGAUGAAGGUUUUCGGAUCGUAAAGCUCUGUCUUCGGGGACGAUAAUGACGGUACCCGAGGAGGAAGCCACGGCUAACUACGUG